This 256-nucleotide unclassified non-coding RNA is filed under the name uncultured fungus. RNAcentral's name for it is "partial contains small subunit ribosomal RNA, internal transcribed spacer 1, and 5.8S ribosomal RNA". The stretch from base 1 to 73 matches the Rfam family "Eukaryotic small subunit ribosomal RNA", at positions 1759 to 1831 of the family's 1831-position model. Lineage: Eukaryota; Fungi. The record is from RNAcentral.
GCAAACUUGGUCAUUUAGAGGAAGUAAAAGUCGUAACAAGGUUUCCGUAGGUGAACCUGCGGAAGGAUCAUUAGAGAAACAUGAGCAUACAUGAACUCGCAUUUGGCGCGCAUUGGCAACAGGCCAAUGCAGAGCCAACUGUGGUCCUUUUUGGACUGAAAACCAAAAUCUUGAACUCAUACCUAACCAUCCAUGUAACACAUGAGAACCUUGCCGCAAUGGAUCUCUCGGCUCUUGCAUCGAUGAAGAACGCAGC